RNAcentral lists this ribosomal RNA (535 nucleotides) under Staphylococcus epidermidis. RNAcentral's name for it is "bacterial LSU rRNA". It matches the Rfam family "Bacterial large subunit ribosomal RNA", at positions 871 to 1410 of the family's 2925-position model. Lineage: Bacteria; Bacillati; Bacillota; Bacilli; Caryophanales; Staphylococcaceae. The record is from RNAcentral.
UAGGGCUAGCCUCAAGUGAUGAUUAUUGGGGGUAGAGCACUGUUUGGACGAGGGGCCCCUCUCGGGUUACCGAAUUCAGACAAACUCCGAAUGCCAAUUAAUUUAACUUGGGAGUCAGAACAUGGGUGAUAAGGUCCGUGUUCGAAAGGGAAACAGCCCAGACCACCAGCUAAGGUCCCAAAAUAUAUGUUAAGUGGAAAAGGAUGUGGCGUUGCCCAGACAACUAGGAUGUUGGCUUAGAAGCAGCCAUCAUUUAAAGAGUGCGUAAUAGCUCACUAGUCGAGUGACACUGCGCCGAAAAUGUAACGGGGCUAAACAUAUUACCGAAGCUGUGGAUUGUCCUUUGGACAAUGGUAGGAGAGCGUUCUAAGGGCGUCGAAGCAUGAUCGCAAGGACAUGUGGAGCACUUAGAAGUGAGAAUGCCGGUGUGAGUAGCGAAAGACGGGUGAGAAUCCCGUCCACCGAUUGACUAAGGUUUCCAGAGGAAGGCUCGUCCGCUCUGGGAUAGUCGGGUCCGCAGCUGAGGCCGACAGGC